GAUGAACGCUGGCGGCGUGCCUAAUACAUGCAAGUCGAGCGAACAGACGAGGAGCUUGCUCCUCUGACGUUAGCGGCGGACGGGUGAGUAACACGUGGAUAACCUACCUAUAAGACUGGGAUAACUUCGGGAAACCGGAGCUAAUACCGGAUGAUAUAUUGAACCGCAUGGUUCAAUAGUGAAAGACGGUUUUGCUGUCACUUAUAGAUGGAUCCGCGCCGCAUUAGCUAGUUGGUAAGGUAACGGCUUACCAAGGCAACGAUGCGUAGCCGACCUGAGAGGGUGAUCGGCCACACUGGAACUGAGACACGGUCCAGACUACUACGGGAGGCAGCAGUAGGGAAUCUUCCGCAAUGGGCGAAAGCCUGACGGAGCAACGCCGCGUGAGUGAUGAAGGUCUUCGGAUCGUAAAACUCUGUUAUUAGGGAAGAACAAAUGUGUAAGUAACUAUGCACGUCUUGACGGUACCUAAUCAGAAAGCCACGGCUAACUACGUG
This 497-nucleotide ribosomal RNA is filed under the name uncultured bacterium. Its description in RNAcentral is "partial 16S ribosomal RNA". It matches the Rfam family "Bacterial small subunit ribosomal RNA", at positions 28 to 507 of the family's 1533-position model. The record is from RNAcentral.